UAACGCAGUAACUGCCCCAGCGGGUUUUC
Molecule: small RNA, 29 nt
Filed under: Bombyx mori (domestic silkworm)
Lineage: Eukaryota; Metazoa; Arthropoda; Insecta; Lepidoptera; Bombycidae
Description: ovarian small RNA-18824
Source: RNAcentral